This 426-nucleotide ribosomal RNA is filed under the name uncultured Stenotrophomonas sp. RNAcentral describes it as "bacterial SSU rRNA". It matches the Rfam family "Bacterial small subunit ribosomal RNA", at positions 356 to 774 of the family's 1533-position model. Lineage: Bacteria; Pseudomonadati; Pseudomonadota; Gammaproteobacteria; Lysobacterales; Lysobacteraceae. The record is from RNAcentral.
GGGGAAUAUUGGACAAUGUGCGCAAGCCUGAUCCAGCCAUACCGCGUGGGUGAAGAAGGCCUUCGGGUUGUAAAGCCCUUUUGUUGGGAAAGAAAAGCAUUCGGUUAAUACCCGAUUGUUCUGACGGUACCCAAAGAAUAAGCACCGGCUAACUUCGUGCCAGCAGCCGCGGUAAUACGAAGGGUGCAAGCGUUACUCGGAAUUACUGGGCGUAAAGCGUGCGUAGGUGGUUGUUUAAGUCUGUCGUGAAAGCCCUGGGCUCAACCUGGGAAUUGCGAUGGAAACUGGGCGACUAGAGUGUGGCAGAGGGUAGUGGAAUUUCCUGUGUAGCGGUGAAAUGCGUAGAUAUAGGAAGGAACACCAGUGGCGAAGGCGACCACCUGGGCUAAUACUGACACUGAGGUGCGAAAGCGUGGGGAGCAAACA